GCCAGGGGUGGUGGCGCACACCUGUAAUCCCAGCAACUUGGGAGGCUGGGGCAGGAGGCUGUCAAGUUUAAGACCAGCCUGAGCAACUUAUCUAGACCUUA
This 101-nucleotide small RNA is filed under the name Marmota monax (woodchuck). Lineage: Eukaryota; Metazoa; Chordata; Mammalia; Rodentia; Sciuridae. The record is from RNAcentral.